The sequence is a non-coding RNA, 381 nucleotides long. It matches the Rfam family "Bacterial RNase P class A". From Rfam's summary of the family: Ribonuclease P (RNase P) is a ubiquitous endoribonuclease, found in archaea, bacteria and eukarya as well as chloroplasts and mitochondria. Its best characterised activity is the generation of mature 5'-ends of tRNAs by cleaving the 5'-leader elements of precursor-tRNAs. Cellular RNase Ps are ribonucleoproteins. The record is from Rfam.
GCGGAUGGCUGGAUGAUCGCGUGCGCCGGGCGACCGGUGCGCGAGGAAAGUCCGGACUCCGGGAAGAAACGGUGCCGGGUAACGCCCGGGCGGGGCAACCCGACGGAUAGCGCCACAGAAAACAGACCGCCCCGGGUCCGCCCGGGGCAAGGGUGAAACGGUGGGGUAAGAGCCCACCGGGGGCGUGGCAACACGGCCCGCAUGGCAAGCCCCACCGGGAGCAAUGCCGAAUAGGGACCGCGCGGCUUCGCGCCAGGGCUUCUUCCGCCCAGCGGUCCGGGUAGGCAGCUCGAGCCUGUCGGCAACGGCAGGCCCAGAUGAAUGAUCAUCCACCCGUGGCGACACGGGGGACAGGAUCCGGCUUACAGGCCGUCCGCGCAC